This 252-nucleotide ribosomal RNA is filed under the name uncultured bacterium. RNAcentral describes it as "partial 16S ribosomal RNA". It matches the Rfam family "Bacterial small subunit ribosomal RNA", at positions 524 to 776 of the family's 1533-position model. The record is from RNAcentral.
UACGUAGGGUGCAAGCGUUAAUCGGAAUUACUGGGCGUAAAGCGUGCGCAGGCGGUGAUGUAAGACAGAUGUGAAAUCCCCGGCUCAACCUGGGAACUGCAUUUGUGACUGCAUCGCUGGAGUACGGCAGAGGGGGAUGGAAUUCCGCGUGUAGCAGUGAAAUGCGUAGAUAUGCGGAGGAACACCGAUGGCGAAGGCAAUCCCCUGGGCCUGUACUGACGCUCAUGCACGAAAGCGUGGGGAGCAAACAGG